RNAcentral lists this ribosomal RNA (253 nucleotides) under uncultured bacterium. Its description in RNAcentral is "partial 16S ribosomal RNA". It matches the Rfam family "Bacterial small subunit ribosomal RNA", at positions 524 to 776 of the family's 1533-position model. The record is from RNAcentral.
UACGGGGGGGGCAAGCGUUGUUCGGAAUUACUGGGCGUAAAGGGCUCGUAGGCGGCCAACUAAGUCGAACGUGAAAUCCCCCGGCUUAACCGGGGAACUGCGUCCGAUACUGGAUGGCUUGAAUCCGGGAGAGGGAUGCGGAAUUCCAGGUGUAGCGGUGAAAUGCGUAGAUAUCUGGAGGAACACCGGUGGCGAAGGCGGCAUCCUGGACCGGUAUUGACGCUGAGGAGCGAAAGCCAGGGGAGCAAACGGG